This 1307-nucleotide long non-coding RNA is filed under the name Heterocephalus glaber (naked mole-rat). RNAcentral's name for it is "lncRNA (ENSHGLG00100040603.1)". Lineage: Eukaryota; Metazoa; Chordata; Mammalia; Rodentia; Bathyergidae. The record is from RNAcentral.
AGAAAUAGCAAAUAAAUACAUGAAAAAAGGUUCCACAUCAUUGGUCAUUCGAGAGAUACAAAUGAAAACAGCUCUGAGAUUCCACUUCACUCCAGAAAGAAUGGCUGCUAUCAUGAAAUCAACCAAUAACAAAUGAUGGCAGGGCUGUAGGGAAAGAGCAACCCUGCUCCACUGCUGGUGGGAGUGUAGACUGGUGCAACUACUGUAGAAAUCAGUAUGGAGAUACCUCAAAGAACUAGGACUGAAGUCCCAUUUGACCCCGCUAUUCCAUUGCUGGGGAUCUUCCCCAAAGAAUUAAAAGAAUCAUACCACAGUGAUAUAUGUGCACCCAUGUUCAUAGCAGCACAGUUCAGUUUUUAAAAUGAAAGUAUAAAUAAGGACUAAAUGUAUAAUAGGUUAUGUGAAAUAGGAAGAAAAGGGGCAAAGGGGAAGGAAGUGGGAGGGCUAGGGGAAAGGAUAGAAGGGAAUGGGAUUAAUAUGAGAAAAUGGAAAAAUAGGAACAAAAUCUUUGUAAAUAGGGAGGAAUGGAGGGGUUGAAGGGAGGGCUGGGCAAGGGUGAAAAAUAAGAACCAAGAGAGAUUAUGUAAAGGUGCAAAUUUCCAAUGAUGAAUGUCAUUAUAUUGUAUACCUAAAAUGUACCAAUGAUUAGAAUGAAUAAUUGAUAGUGUAAAAUAGGAAGAAAAGGUCCAAAGGGGUAGGGGUAGUGGGAGGGGCAGGGGAAAGGAAAGAAGGGAAAGGAAAAAUGCUGAGAAAUGGAAAAAAUGGAAAUAAAGUCUUUGUAAAUAGGGAAGGGUGGAGGGGGUGAAGGGAGGGCUAGGAAAGGGGAAAAAAUAAGAACCAAGAUGCAUUAUGUAAAGGUACAAAUUCCCAAUGAGAAAUGUAAAUGUGUUGUAUACCUACAAUGGACCAAUAAAAGAGUUUAAGAAAAAAAAAAAAAAAGAAGACAAACUCAACUAAGAAAAAAAAAAACUCACUUGCAACAGAAUGAGAACAUCUGCAUUCCAAUCUGACUUCUGCCAAUCUCUGGAAAUGGGAUCUCAUUCAGUUAUCUCACCUCUCUGAAUGUCAGUUUCUUCAUUUAUAAACCAAAAGAUAAUAUCCGCAUAGUAGAGUGCUUAUAAAGAGUAAAGAAACAAGUCAGAGAAUGCAAUCUAUAAACUGUGACUCACUAGCUGUGUAAGAAUGAUUGCCUGUCCUCCUUACAGCAGGAGCACAGAGCUUAUACGGAAAGCAGGUAACCAUGAGGGAACUUCAUUGGAUCCAUGCUACACUUUUUCUACUAAAGAAAAGUCUCAGUGAGCAUUCCA